AAACGUUCCGUGCACAUCGUGAGCUAUUUCAGCCGAAUUGUUCUGAAAAUGUUUUCUCGUAUGGUAUACAAAUUAUAUUAAAAUGAUAAAAGUUAAAGCUAAAAGGUAACAAUUGUGGUUUUCGCAGCAUAUUGUCCAAUUUCCUGCAUAUAUAAGGAAAAUUUUUAUUUUGUAUACCGAUAUAAAUGAAUCCUGCAUGUAAAAAAUUUUAUAAGGAAAAUAUAAAAGCUACAAAGUGUCAUAAAAACCGUAAAACUUUAUAGUUCACUUUUUUUUGGUGAAAGAAAGGAAUAAUAUAUAUAUAUAAAAAUGUAUUCUUCUCCAAUACAUUAUUCCACAAUGCGUCCGCAGCCUCUUGGCGGCGCAGGAAUUUUACAUGAUUCAAAUAUUGAAGAAAUGCGUAACGCGGAAUGGUACUGGGGAAAAAUUACAAGGGAGGAGGUUAAAAACAUUCUUUCCGGACAACCUGAUGGAAGUUUUUUAGUGCGUGAUGCUCUCUCGAAAGAAGGCGAAUACACGCUGACACUUAUAAAAGAUGGCACUGAAAAAUUAAUAAAAAUAUGCCAUUCGAAUGGGAAAUACGGUUUCGUCGAUUGUAUAUUUAAUUCUGUAGUGGAAUUAAUUAAUUAUUAUAAAGUGAAUUCGUUAAAGUUGUAUAAUAAAAUGCUUGAUAUAACGUUAAGCAAUCCUAUAGUGCGCCCAUUAGAAGACGAAGAAACUCAACGAUAUGGAGAUUUACGUUUCCUUGCAGAUCAGUUUUUAUCCCAUCAUCAUUUACUUAACAAACAUCAACAAAAUCUCGACCAAAAGUUAAAAGUAUUUAAGUCAAUUGAAAAUGAACUAAACGAAAUGAAAGUACAUCAGGAAGUGUAUCAACGCGGAGCAAAAAUGUUUCAAAAUCAGUUAACAUUAAUUCAAACGUACAUAACCACCGCACCACAAGGAGGUAUCUGUGCGAACAGUGCGGGGAAUGCUGCCCGCCAACAAGAAAACGACCAACUCCAAAUAAAUUCAGCUGCACUUGAAGCGCGAAUGUUAAAUCUGUGCACUGCGAUGGAUAAACUAAACCGCUACGUUGAAGAGAAAAAAGAAGAAUAUAAAACAUUAGAGCGACAAAUUAAUUCUGCUAAGCCUGAGUUACAAGAAUUGACUGUGCGAAAAGAAAAAUUUACAGAACGUUUGUUGGAAGUUGGCAUUAAAGAAGAAGAUAUUAAACAACUCAUUGAAAUGGGUUUCGAAGCUUGGCAACAGCGUUACGAAAGUGUCUCUAAUCAACCACACAAUGACGAGUCAAUGUGGUUCCUUAAAGAUUGUCUACGUCAUCAGGCAGAAGAAUUGUUAAAGGGCUCUCCAACAGGAACAUUUCUUAUACGUGCUCGUUCUGCUGGACAUUAUGCACUUUCGAUAGUUUGUAAGGGUGUCAUUAGUCAUUGCAUUAUUAACGAAGCUGAAAGUGGUUACGGUUUUGCGGCGCCAUAUAAUAUUUAUCACACCUUAAACAAAUUAGUGGAUCAUUAUGCGACAAAUUCUCUGGAAGAGCACAAUGAUACAUUAACUACAACUUUGCGUAUUCCUGUUAUGUAUUGGCAUCAAAACAAAGAAUUCCUUAUGCAGGAAAUGCAAGAAGAAUUAGAAUUGGAGCGACAAUUGUUAGAGCAACAACUGUUAGAACAACAAAUGUUAGAACAACAGCAGUUGGAUCCGCAACAAUUAGACCAACAACGACAAUACCAGCAUCUGCAAUUGCCGCAGCAGCCAAGUGGUGCAUCAAAUGCCUCAGUGCCUAAUAACGCCUCUGAAAUUGGAACUAAUUCCCAAUCUUCAAGUAAUACUAGUGCUGGUGCUAGCAAUGAGUUGAGUAAUGACUUAGGAAUAUGGAUCUCUAAACAUAAUAUUUCAAGAAGCGACCGGUUGUGGCAGGGGACGAGAAUGCUGUGCUUCACCUUACUCAGAAAUCAUCAUUUAAAAUUAUCAAUAUAUUCAAGUUUAAUCACUUAUCAGCUAUUUGCAUGGUCCUUUUAUUCAAGUGUUUCAACAACGUUCAUCAGUGGUACCACAGCGGCUGGAGUCAAUAUUUGGAUCAAGCGGGCUUUGGUGUAUGAGUCGAUCAUUCCAGCCUAACCAAAACCACCGCAUUGUUAUCAUUCUGCUCCUAAAAUAUAUGUGAGUUUUAAAUGGAUGAAUUAAUUAUUUACCAUUAUUUAUCGAAACUAAUUCAUUAAAACUAUGGUUUCAUUCCGCCAUCCAGACAGACGGAUUUCGAUAAAUUGAUUAGCGUGUCAUGCUGGCUGUAGAGUGACUACAUAUCGUCUUCAGAGUCGACAUUUCUGAUACAAUAUCUAUUCAGAAUAAUGUGAGGGAUAUGAUAAGCUAUAUUUGGUGUUGCCAAAGUCUCAAUAUGCUUGGCCCACAUAGGUUUAAUGGUAAACAAAUCAGUUAUGUACAUUCUUAUUAUAUUUUCUUAAACUAUAUAGAAAACUGCAUUUUUACAUGUAUCGUAUAUUUUAAUAGUUAGUUAUUAUUUAAAAUUAUUUUUUAAAGUUGUAUUGUAUGUGGACGCUAUUGAAUGUAAAGACGCUAUUAAAAAUGUGCUUUAUU
Molecule: RNA transcript, 2598 nt
Organism: Teleopsis dalmanni
Lineage: Eukaryota; Metazoa; Arthropoda; Insecta; Diptera; Diopsidae
Gene: Pi3K21B
Gene name: phosphatidylinositol 3-kinase regulatory subunit gamma
Exons: 7
Source: RefSeq, a predicted model, not a curated record